ACACACUCACACUCACAUACACCGCAUACACACAGACACACACACACACCACACACACACUCACAGUACACACACUCAGACACACACAGACACACACACUCACACGCCACACACAUUCACAUCACACACCACACACAGGACUGACAGAGAGGCGGCUGGAAGGGAGACCUGGGGAGGGGACGGAAUCCUGAGGAUGUAAAUCAUGGAAACAAGAGUAUCGACUGCCAGUUCACAUCCAAAGGGCAGGAGGCACUGAAGAGCGCAGGCAGGGCUCCUGGAGCCUGGAGGUGAGGUCAGGCCAUAGGCGAUAUUUUCCCGGAAACUUCUUCCAAAGAGCAGCGGCUCUUGUGCCACUGAGGCCACCUGAGGUGAAGCAUGGAGAGGCACAGACAGGAGACACAGGAGUGCUGUUGUCUGGGGGCUGACGACUCACAAUCCAGUGCCCACCACACGGGUCCUUCUGCGCCGGGCCCCACUCUGCCCUGGCUGCCAGCUUCCCCGAACUCCGCAAGGGCUGUCACUGAGAAUACCCUUGCUCUCCUCGCUCCCGCCCCCCCCCCCCCCCCCCGUGGCACCUCUCCGCCCCUCUCCCCUCCCCCUCCUCACCUGUUGGUGCAGGUAGCGGUGCUCAUACCGGGCCAGGGGCUGGCCGUCCAGCAGCACCCGGCCCCCGGUGGGCUGGAACAGGUUCUGCAGCAGGGCGGCCACCGUGCUCUUCCCCGACCCGUUGGGGCCCACCAGGGCGGUCACCUUCCCCGGAUGCAGCGUGAACGUCACACCCUGGAGGCCAGAGAAGCAGAGGGUGGUAAAAGCAUCCAGAGGCCUCUAGCCUGGAGCCCGGCACUGUCUUACCCAGGAGGAAAACGGAACACACAGCACUCCCCACCCUCUGUGUGUACUUCCGAAGCGGGAGAGAGGGGAGCUGGGCAAUGGACAGCCCAAAAGUGGAGGACAGAGGCUGAGCGUCUUCUCCAGGAACAGAAACUGUGUUCCGCACCACAAAUGGUGGCUGGAGUCGCACGUUGCCAUGCCAACUCCUUGCUUACAGGAGCUUUAUCUUUUUAAAAAAGUUUGUUUUGACUUAUUUAUUUAAUUUUA
Molecule: long non-coding RNA, 1098 nt
Organism: Meriones unguiculatus (Mongolian gerbil)
Lineage: Eukaryota; Metazoa; Chordata; Mammalia; Rodentia; Muridae
Exons: 2
Source: RefSeq, a predicted model, not a curated record